RNAcentral lists this microRNA (22 nucleotides) under Drosophila melanogaster (fruit fly). Its description in RNAcentral is "dme-miR-9370-5p". The record is from miRBase by way of RNAcentral. Lineage: Eukaryota; Metazoa; Arthropoda; Insecta; Diptera; Drosophilidae.
UUUGGGUUGCCGGUACCGGGUG